This 1528-nucleotide ribosomal RNA is filed under the name Klebsiella pneumoniae. RNAcentral describes it as "bacterial SSU rRNA". It matches the Rfam family "Bacterial small subunit ribosomal RNA". The record is from RNAcentral. Lineage: Bacteria; Pseudomonadati; Pseudomonadota; Gammaproteobacteria; Enterobacterales; Enterobacteriaceae.
AGAGUUUGAUCAUGGCUCAGAUUGAACGCUGGCGGCAGGCCUAACACAUGCAAGUCGAGCGGUAGCACAGAGAGCUUGCUCUCGGGUGACGAGCGGCGGACGGGUGAGUAAUGUCUGGGAAACUGCCUGAUGGAGGGGGAUAACUACUGGAAACGGUAGCUAAUACCGCAUAACGUCGCAAGACCAAAGUGGGGGACCUUCGGGCCUCAUGCCAUCAGAUGUGCCCAGAUGGGAUUAGCUAGUAGGUGGGGUAACGGCUCACCUAGGCGACGAUCCCUAGCUGGUCUGAGAGGAUGACCAGCCACACUGGAACUGAGACACGGUCCAGACUCCUACGGGAGGCAGCAGUGGGGAAUAUUGCACAAUGGGCGCAAGCCUGAUGCAGCCAUGCCGCGUGUGUGAAGAAGGCCUUCGGGUUGUAAAGCACUUUCAGCGGGGAGGAAGGCGUUAAGGUUAAUAACCUUGGCGAUUGACGUUACCCGCAGAAGAAGCACCGGCUAACUCCGUGCCAGCAGCCGCGGUAAUACGGAGGGUGCAAGCGUUAAUCGGAAUUACUGGGCGUAAAGCGCACGCAGGCGGUCUGUCAAGUCGGAUGUGAAAUCCCCGGGCUUAACCUGGGAACUGCAUUCGAAACUGGCAGGCUAGAGUCUUGUAGAGGGGGGUAGAAUUCCAGGUGUAGCGGUGAAAUGCGUAGAGAUCUGGAGGAAUACCGGUGGCGAAGGCGGCCCCCUGGACAAAGACUGACGCUCAGGUGCGAAAGCGUGGGGAGCAAACAGGAUUAGAUACCCUGGUAGUCCACGCCGUAAACGAUGUCGAUUUGGAGGUUGUGCCCUUGAGGCGUGGCUUCCGGAGCUAACGCGUUAAAUCGACCGCCUGGGGAGUACGGCCGCAAGGUUAAAACUCAAAUGAAUUGACGGGGGCCCGCACAAGCGGUGGAGCAUGUGGUUUAAUUCGAUGCAACGCGAAGAACCUUACCUGGUCUUGACAUCCACAGAACUUUCCAGAGAUGGAUUGGUGCCUUCGGGAACUGUGAGACAGGUGCUGCAUGGCUGUCGUCAGCUCGUGUUGUGAAAUGUUGGGUUAAGUCCCGCAACGAGCGCAACCCUUAUCCUUUGUUGCCAGCGGUCCGGCCGGGAACUCAAAGGAGACUGCCAGUGAUAAACUGGAGGAAGGUGGGGAUGACGUCAAGUCAUCAUGGCCCUUACGACCAGGGCUACACACGUGCUACAAUGGCAUAUACAAAGAGAAGCGACCUCGCGAGAGGAAGCGGACCUCAUAAAGUAUGUCGUAGUCCGGAUUGGAGUCUGCAACUCGACUCCAUGAAGUCGGAAUCGCUAGUAAUCGUAGAUCAGAGUGCUACGGUGAAUACGUUCCCGGGCCUUGUACACACCGCCCGUCACACCAUGGGAGUGGGUUGCAAAAGAAGUAGGUAGCUUAACCUUCGGGAGGGCGCUUACCACUUUGUGAUUCAUGACUGGGGUGAAGUCGUAACAAGGUAACCGUAGGGGAACCUGCGGUUGGAUCACCU